Molecule: long non-coding RNA, 370 nt
Filed under: Drosophila guanche
Lineage: Eukaryota; Metazoa; Arthropoda; Insecta; Diptera; Drosophilidae
Source: RNAcentral
CUCGAACAGCCUGGCAGUCGACUACAGAUAGCCUGGGAUUAACCUCCCAAUUUUUUUAAGCGGUGCCGACGACAAGGUAGGCCUACUUUACGUAACCACCCUCAGAGCGUGCUCCACCUCUGUAUCCUCCUCCCCGAGUGUACUCCAACCUCGGAAUCACCAUCAGAGCGUGCGCCACCUCUGAAUCCCCCUCCCCGAGCGUGCUUAUACCACGGAAUCCUCGCCAGAAGUGGACUCCCAUCUCGGAACCGUCUCCAGAGUGGCCUCCACCUCUGCUACUCGUCUCUUCGGAGUGUGCUUAACAGCCAUGUGCGGCCGAACCUCCGAAGACAGGAAGGAAGGAAGAGAGCCGCCCGGCCCCACCGAAGGC